Molecule: long non-coding RNA, 196 nt
Filed under: Capra hircus (goat)
Lineage: Eukaryota; Metazoa; Chordata; Mammalia; Artiodactyla; Bovidae
Description: lncRNA (ENSCHIG00000006863.1)
Source: RNAcentral
UGUGCUUCUGUGGUCUCUGAUGACUAGUUGUGGGGCACCUUUGACUAUGAAGACCAUUCAUCACGGUCACCAUUGUCUGGUACUUUAGAGAUCUCACUACCAACAGGAGCAGCAGGAGACUCUGGUUUAGAAGAAGAAACGAUUCCAAAAUCAUUUAAAGAAUAUACAGUGAUUUCUUAAUGAACUUUACAAAGCU